Molecule: ribosomal RNA, 328 nt
Filed under: uncultured eukaryote
Lineage: Eukaryota
Description: partial 18S ribosomal RNA
Rfam family: Eukaryotic small subunit ribosomal RNA
Source: RNAcentral
CCCUUAGAUGUCCGGGGCUGCACGCGCGCUACACUGACUGGCUCAGCGUGUGCCUACCCUACGCCGGCAGGCGCGGGUAACCCGUUGAACCCCAUUCGUGAUGGGGAUCGGGGAUUGCAAUUAUUCCCCAUGAACGAGGAAUUCCCAGUAAGUGCGGGUCAUAAGCUUGCGUUGAUUAAGUCCCUGCCCUUUGUACACACCGCCCGUCGCUACUACCGAUUGGAUGGUCCGGUGAAGCCUCGGGAUUGUGGUUCUUGCCGCUUUAUUGUGGCGUGACCGCGAGAACUUGUCUAAACCUUAUCAUCUAGAGGAAGGUGAAGUCGUAACA